GGACUACCGGGGUUUCUAAUCCCGUUUGCUCCCCUGGCUUUCGCGCCUCAGCGUCAGAAGAGGGCCAGCGGAUCGCUUUCGCCACCGGCGUUCCUUCCGAUAUCAACGCAUUUCACCGCUCCACCGGAAGUUCCAUCCGCCCCUACCUCCCUCAAGCGCGUCAGUAUCCGAGGCACUUCCCCAGUUGAGCUGGGGGCUUUCACCCCGGACUUGACCCGCCGCCUACGCGCCCUUUAAGCCCAGUGAUUCCGAACAACGUUCGCACGGUUCGCCUUACCGCGGCGGCUGGCAC
RNAcentral lists this ribosomal RNA (292 nucleotides) under uncultured bacterium. Its description in RNAcentral is "partial 16S ribosomal RNA". The record is from RNAcentral. RNAcentral also lists the same sequence under 2 other names.